RNAcentral lists this long non-coding RNA (1162 nucleotides) under Equus asinus (donkey). RNAcentral's name for it is "lncRNA (ENSEASG00005029387.1)". Lineage: Eukaryota; Metazoa; Chordata; Mammalia; Perissodactyla; Equidae. The record is from RNAcentral.
CCCAUUGGCUUCCAGUCUGGUCCCAAACAGUUUCGGAGAGAACCCCGUCUCCCGGGGACAACAGAAUUCCAGCAUUAACAUUUCCAUCUGCAGAACAAGGCUUCUCCCUUCGGUGAAAUGCCUUUGCGGUCUCAUGAUAACCACACCCGUGGAGGCCGAGAGCUCUUGGAGGACCAGCUGCAGCCUUGAGAUGCAGGUUGGUCCACGAGGGGGAAGAAGCCUGAAUACUGUCUCCACUGGCCUCUGAAAACAAGGUCCCUUCAACUGCAGGGAAUGCUGGCCUCAGUGUCAUCUGUAGAAUGGGGUCGUCAUAGGAUCCAGCUCAGGGGUCACUGUGGAGGGCCGAGAAGAUGACGUGUGCGAAGGCCCUGCCUCACAGGGAUGCUCAGUGAGGAGAAGCUGCAUCCGCUCUUUCCGCAGACCUGGGAGGGCUCUCGACUCGUUUGGGGCUGCGUGUUAAAACCCUGGUGCAUGGGGUCAUGUUGUUUCUACUCUGAUUUGUUGUGUGUCUGCGUUUUCAGGACCUCUCUGGGCCAUGUGCGGGGAGUUGAGGGACCUUGUUCUCCCACUGACAACACUUUGAGCUUCCAAGUUGUCAUACUGAGGAUUCACCGUCUCCAGGCGGGGGUUGGGGCUGACCCUUCCACUGUCCCCAUCACUGGUGAUGUCACAGCAGAGGAGUCUGCGGAGACCGAGUUCUGGAGGAGGGAGGGGUCUGGGGGGCAGUGUGUGUCCCUGUGGUGUUGGGCAUGUCAAACAGCCGCCCCUUUCCUCUGUUUGGCAGAUGCCAGCACUUCACACUCAUGUGGACGCAUCGUGGGCCUUCUACAUAUGCUGAGACAGCUGUGGGUCUGUGCCCAACACCCACAGGGCUCCAGAAAAUGCUGAGCAGGAAGAAGGGCUGCGUGGGGAGGCAGGAGGGCAGAGGGGCCUGAGAGCUGGGCAGGCAGCCAGAGCCCUGAAGACUCGUCAGGAGCUGGGACGGAAUGCACGCCCCACCUCCCGCGGUCAAGGUGAAGGGUAAAGGAGACAGCGUUCGCUCAGGCAGCGCCAGACACACAGCAGGUGCUUCAGCAUUACUGUCACAAACCCAGGCAAAGCCCAGGGCUGAGGCGAGUAACAUCACUUCCAACGGGCACGGAGGCGAUCCAUCCCCAGCAGC